AGAAACGGGGGUCACACUGUUCAGUGAAAGGGUAGUAUUCGACUGGGCUGAUAAGGAGCCCGCAACAGCGAGUAGGAUUAUCAGCUUACCGUACAUAGUGUAUGAAGUGAAGUGAAAUCGUAUCGUA
Diprion similis is the source of this 127-nucleotide long non-coding RNA. RefSeq lists it as uncharacterized. NCBI's taxonomy places the organism in Eukaryota, Metazoa, Arthropoda, Insecta, Hymenoptera, Diprionidae. The record is from RefSeq and is a predicted model, not a curated record. The transcript is spliced from 3 exons.